Molecule: long non-coding RNA, 2458 nt
Organism: Leptidea sinapis
Lineage: Eukaryota; Metazoa; Arthropoda; Insecta; Lepidoptera; Pieridae
Exons: 3
Source: RefSeq, a predicted model, not a curated record
ACAGCCGGCGAUCAUUCGCAUCUUACUCGCUUGCCUUGUUCUUGUGAAUUGUGAUACCUACGUACUGUUUUCGAUAUCCUUCUAUUGUUUUAACCCUGGCUUUGUUUACGGACUGAUAACUACGACUAUUUUGUGCGCUCGACAUCUGGACACCGAUAUUGCUUCUUGGAUUGGAUUGUUUGUGAAAGACAUCAUGGAGUCCUCACAAUAAGCUCUGCUAUUGCAAUGUGUUAAUUGUAACAUUCGCAUUGAGACAUUUCGUCGUCAUCUCGUUCUUAAUCUUGAUACGAGAGUGAUUUCUACGAUCUGCGAGUGGAAUCCUUUAAUAAUAAUCACCGAGGAAGAUUACAUAUGUGAUGCCUGCAACCAAUUGGCAAUGCAAUAUGUCAACUCGCCUCAUCCUCUCGUAGCCACAUACAUGUUAGUUACACUUUGUGGGUGUUCUUUGCGGAAUCGCAAACGCGACCGCAUUGUGAGAGAGAAUCCAUCUCGCUUACAACAAUCAAUACAUAUAGAAUUUGAAAAUAGAAUAGCUCCACGCCCGGCAACCUCAUCAGACAUGUCAUGCAUGUUGGUUAUGACUCAAAAGGGCUGCAAUGCGCAAUAUGCAAUAAGAUAUUGAGCAAGCACAACCAGUGCCAGAGUUAGAGCCUCCACCCCAAGAACCUCAAAGCCCUCCUAACAUUGAGGAGCAUGGUGAUGAACCUACAUUAAUUAGUUUACCACAUUAUAGACGAGCGGUAAUACUGCAGCACAUUGUGUUUUUUCUGGCUGCCAAACCAGAGAUCUACAUAGGAUCUCUGAGCCAGCACAAAUAUUACUUGCCUAUAAAUGCUUGUAUUUACAUUGAACAUACAUUUAGUACAGAUUGGGAUAUGCUGUACAAUUCAGAAAAUAGUACAUUUACGGCUCAACAAAUAGAACAUGCUUUUUCUCUUAUCAAUGCUUCGAACACAUUUUUAGAUUUUUCAAGUAUGGAAACUAUUCAAAGAAUUGAUGAGAAUUUAUUUCAUUACUGGCUUGGAAUGAGUAAAGCUCAAUUUGAGCGGAUAUUAUAUGAAAUUCCUCGACUCAUUGAAGCACAUAGAGGCAUUUUGGGCUUAGGAGCACUUUUAAUAAAGAUGAGAACUGGUGACUCAGAUGAACACUUAUCCCAAUUAUUAAUGGUUCCAAGGUGAACCUUAGAAAGACUAAUGGACUCAGUUAGAGAAAUAUUAGUGCAGGAUUUUGUUCCUAGAAAUCUGGGACUGCAACACAUAUCUCGACAGCAAUUGUUGCAACAUAAUUUGAUGAUACCAAAUGCAAUUUAUAAAGAAAUAAUGAAAAUACAAUAAUUAUAUGUGAUGGCCUACAUUUAUAUAAAUAAAAGUUCAAAUUAUAUGUUCCAAAAGGACACAUAUUCAUUACAUAAAUAUAAAAACUUGUAAAAACCAUUUUUGCUGGUGGCUCCUGAUGGCUAUAUUGUAGAUUGCUUUGGCCCAUACAAACCUACCACAUCUGAUGCAGAUAUAAUGAAGUCUCUUUUCAGAGAUGAAAACUUUUCUCUCAGACAAUACUUUCAAAACAAUAAUAUUUUUGUUCUAGACAGGGGAUUUAGAGAUUCAAUUCAUUUGUUAGAUGCUUGCAACUUUAAAACAUAUAUGCCAGAUUCGCUGCUUGAGGGUGAACAUCAGCUAACCACUGAACAAGCAAAUAGGAGUCGCUGCGUGACCAUAUGCCGUUGGGUAGUAGAAGUAGUUAAUGGCUACUUCAAACGAGACUACAAAAUAUUUAGACAAGAUUUCUUUAAUAAAUCUGUACCCCAUAUGAUGCAAAUGUUCAGUAUAGCUGCAAGCCUCUUAAAUAAAUUCGGUGUUCGAUUAAAAAAUAGGAAUGAUGCUGAACAAAUUAUUAACCUUAUUAGGGAACCAUUUCCAUUAAAAAUAAUAAUAUUUCUGAUUAUGUAAAUAUGAUAAACCAUCAUCAUGAAUAGAAAAUCAUCUGAUUUUACUAGUAUUUCAGCUCAUUCCAAUAAUAAUUUUAUAUUUCCCCAUCUAGAAUAUAGUGAAAUAAUAUUAUUUGCCUUAGGAACAUACCAGAUCCGACAAGCAAGAUCCUAUUAUAGUGAACAUACAAGGUUUCAUGGAGGAUAUAGAAUUGAAAUAAGCAAAGAAAACAUAAAUGUUUUAGAGUAUGGUUUGAGAGGAAGCGGUAAUAAUUCUCUAAUAAAAGGUAAAAUUAAAUCCAAACACAUUUCAAACAAAAUAUACUAUGUUUAUAUAUUAAUUGAAAAUAAUGAGUCUGGAAGAAAAGCUAUACUAGAAUAUUGCUGUAAUUGUUUAGUUGGAAGAAGAACGGUUGGGGGCUGUGCACAUUUAAUGACAUUGGUGUGGUAUCUCGGGUGGGCUAGGUAUCAGCCCACAAUAUUCCUUGAUGCUGUAGUUGUAAGAGAGAAUUAUGAAUAAAGAGUUUAUAUCAA